RNAcentral lists this long non-coding RNA (295 nucleotides) under Xyrichtys novacula (pearly razorfish). The record is from RNAcentral. Lineage: Eukaryota; Metazoa; Chordata; Actinopteri; Labriformes; Labridae.
CUAAAGUCACCCCGAUGACACCAUGGAUGAGGAGAUGCUGAUUCUAGAAGUCUAGAAGUAGAUUUCCUCCUCUGGAAGGACACAAUCUACUGCUUAUAUGUCUAUGUGUCUGUCUUUAGAGAGACGACUCGUUAUCGUGAGAUUGAACGUGAAUCUGCAGGUUCUUGUGAGUUCUCGUGAUUACUGCUGUCUGUAAUCCGCCACAAAAUUCGCCUCACAAACGGAUCCGUUAGGAAUUGGCAGACGGUGAAAAUCGCUGCUGUUCCAGAUUCAGUGAAAAUUGGCAUCAGCAUCU